GAUGAAGAACGUAGCGAAAUGCGAUAAGUAGUGUGAAUUGCAGAAUUCAGUGAAUCAUCGAAUCUUUGAACGCACAUUGCGCCUCCUGGCAUUCCGGGAGGCAUGCCUGUUCGAGCGUCAUCAAACCCCAUCGUGCAAAUGAAUUAUUUUUUUUGCGCGGAAGUGACGAUUGAGCGAGAUUAACAAAUCCUCUCGCACCUCGUCGAAAUGAUUGCGGGCGGAAUUUGGGAUCGGGUUCCUCGGCGUAGUGUAUCAAUGCAUAUUUAUGCAACUUGCCGCGGAGUUGAGCCUGACCCACGCGUUCUCGCCGUACAAACACCUCAUUACUUUACAAGUUUUUGACCUCGGAUCAGGUAGGGAUACCCGCUGAACUUAAGCAUAUCAAUAAGCGGAGGA
This 396-nucleotide unclassified non-coding RNA is filed under the name soil metagenome. RNAcentral's name for it is "partial contains 5.8S ribosomal RNA, internal transcribed spacer 2, and large subunit ribosomal RNA". The stretch from base 1 to 120 matches the Rfam family "5.8S ribosomal RNA", at positions 35 to 154 of the family's 154-position model. The record is from RNAcentral.